UUGUUUUCUCUCCCCUACCACCUACCUCUUCCCUGCUAUGCUGCAGGCAGGAGAGGGUGCAGGGAGGGCCAGCAAG
This 76-nucleotide microRNA precursor is filed under the name Octodon degus (degu). RNAcentral's name for it is "miRNA (ENSODEG00000021741.1)". The record is from RNAcentral. Lineage: Eukaryota; Metazoa; Chordata; Mammalia; Rodentia; Octodontidae.